AACUUUUCAUCUCUGCUGAUUAGGGCUAUCAUCAGUUCAUAUGCAAAACCAUUACUUGUCCUCCUGUAAAAAUUACUGCCCACAGUUCCUGUCCAGCCCACUUUUUUUCUUUUCCUUUUCCUUUUUCCUUUUUCAUUUAAAUAAAUCUGUAUAACGCCGGCCAUUAAAGUCAGGGAACAGGUGCCCAAUUUCACACGAAAGGUCUUCUAUUUGGGUUAAUUAUAGAGGAAACACUAUGAGAAGAACUGGCGUUUCAGAGUUAUUUCUUUUCUGGUGCUGAUCAUAGGUCAGCUAGUGAUGGGUCCUUCUAUGUAAUGGCCAUGCCACCAACUUAGACUUUUUUACACGUCAUGUCUGCUUCUGAAAAGCUGUUUAUAGUUCCAACUUCAGCAGACGAAGGUAAUGUAUUUUGAAAGAAAAAUUGAGAAAAUGGUGAUUAAGCCUCGUUAACUCGUAAGCCACAAGCUGUGAAUGCUGAGUUGCGUUUGUGUUUGUUGUCACCCUUGUGGCUCCAAGCCCUAGCUAAUCAUUAUCAAAAUUUCCUGUAAUCCAAUUUCAUUAAGAAGCAGAAACCAUGAAGAAAAUAAUGGUAAAUAUGGCCAAAUCAAAGAAAGAGACACGAACUAAUGCAUGUAGGUUUCUAUUUUGACAACGUUAUUUCAUUUUUUUAACUCCUUUGUCUUUUGUUUUUCUUGUCCAAG
Molecule: long non-coding RNA, 701 nt
Filed under: Manihot esculenta (cassava)
Lineage: Eukaryota; Viridiplantae; Streptophyta; Magnoliopsida; Malpighiales; Euphorbiaceae
Description: long non-coding RNA (MESC_LNC004913)
Source: RNAcentral